RNAcentral lists this long non-coding RNA (2738 nucleotides) under Cinara cedri. The record is from RNAcentral. Lineage: Eukaryota; Metazoa; Arthropoda; Insecta; Hemiptera; Aphididae.
GGUAACGAUUAUUGGACUACGGUUAUAGAUAGAAUGGUUGCAUGAGUCAGUUGCAAAAGCGGCUCCAAAGGUUUUUAUGAAAAAUAUGAAAAUUUUCCUGCCUUGAGUGUCAUAUAGAAUGAGUUCCACUUGGACGCUUACAGCGCUCACGCUCAUGCUUACAAAUUGUUCUACUAUCAAACAGACGCAUACAAUCCCUUUGCUUAGGUACACUCCAAGUGGAACAUGCGUGAACCCUAUCAUGAGCGCUUAGCCCGUGUUUAUUAACAAAAAUUAAAUUAAAAACAUGAUACACAAAUUUGAUUUGUUUUCGUGAAUAUUUUGAGUCUAAUUGGAACGCACUCAUAGUUAAAAUUACCACAACAAUUUCGAAUAAAAUUACCCAUAGCAUAUUAUUAAUAUUGCGACAAUAAUCUGUUCAUUCAUUACUGAUCUAUACAAAUUUUUCGGUACAGACAAAUAGAACCCAGGUCAUUUAGAUCCCAACCGAACCUUUAGUAACAUUGUGGAUCUAGUUGUCUCGGGAUCAAAUUAUCGUGUCUUGAUCUAAAAGUCCAGAUAUCCGAAUGUUAUCAGUACAUACAAUUAUAAUAAUAGUUGGUGUGUCGUCUGUAUAAAGGUAAAUACUAAAUAUUUUUUUGAUCUUUCAAAUAAUGUAUCCUUUCACAAUAAUUUUCACAAUAUGAACAUCGUACUUAACAGAACCCCGAACUCAGUGUCAUUUAAGUACUACAAUGUAUUAUAUUGUCAUGAAGUUAAAAGAAUAUGGUUAAGGGUAAAUAGAAUUUUCGAAAAUCCAUUACCUAGGUAAAAAAAUUAUAAAAUCAUUGCAUGAAUAAGUUUUUUUCAUUUUCUCAAACAAUAUUUUACGAGAUACUACCACUGUACAAAUAUUAAGAUUAAAUUGAAUAGAAUUAGGUAUUUUUAUACUUCUAUAUUUUUAAUCUGUGACAUGAUGUUUCUUGAUAAGUUCAAAAUUUACUAAUUUAAAUGGGAGAUGAGCCACCAGUGAAGUAUUAUACAUUAUAUCCAUUUUUAUCAUAACACUGUCAAUUACAAUCUAUAAAUGUGAUAAUGACAAAUAACUGCGUACAGGUAACAGAUUAAAUUUUUUUAAAAAACAUAGAUAACAUAAUAAUAGGUAGUAAAAUGUUCCUAUUUGCAUUUACUAGAAAAAAAUAAAUGAUAAAUGAUCAAUUAUUAUAAUGUCAAGAUUUGUUUUUAAUAAUGGACCAAAACAUUAUUAAAUGGGUGUCAAGACAACAGCUCAUUGAUGUUAUUGGUACCUAUACUAUUUAUAAAAUAUAUUUUACCUAUAUAAUGUGUACUUAUAUAUUAUUACCUAGUAUUACCAAGCUAACUUUGGUUCCAACCAUGUGACUAAUUUUCAUACAACAUUUAUAUACAUAAAACAAGUACAGAUUCUUUGUAAAACCCUAUUCAAAUAUUUAGAUGUAAUGAUUAUCAUUCAAUACUGUGGAUAUCAAAUAAUCUUUAAAUACCUACCUAAAAUAAUUUAAUGAAAAUAAAAUUAUUUUUAUUAAACUACUUGGUGGUUAGGUUUUCUUUAAAUCAAAAGCUAUCUUAAAACAAACUAAAAUUGUAAUAUUCCUGGCUAUAUUUAUUGUAUUAUAUAUUUGUAUAAUUUUUUAUAUUGAUUUAUAAUAGUUUAAUAUUAAUCUUAUAUACUUAUUAAAAUUUUUUUUUUUGCUCAUACUCAUAUUUGCCCCAUAUACUCGAGGUAUAUAAUAAUAAUACAAUCUGUAGAUAAAAAUGAAUGAUCUAAGAGAAUAAUAUAUAUUUAUUUGUUUAUUUAGAAUAAAAAAAUGCUAAAAUAAAUUGUAAUUAUACAUUUAACUAAUAAAUAUUUAUAUGACACCUACCACAUUAUUAUAGCAGAUCUCACACAUGUCUGGAAAAGAGAUGAUACAAUCAAUGCACUUCCAUCCAUGGCCGCCACAAUACCUUGAGAAAUUGGGAGUGUCUCAGAAGGCCCACCAGCAACAAAUGUAGUUACUGCCUAUCGGAUCCAUGAGGCUGUUAAUGUUGGACAUCCAUAAAACUAUAUCCAAAAAGUAAGUACAUUCAAAUAUUAACCAUUAAAUGCCAUUAUUAUACCAAAUAUAUACCAUGAUCUAUAAUAUUUAUUCUAAAAAUCCUAGGGAAUUGAAUCCCAUGCAGAUGGUCAAUUGUUCACCGCAAGGAUCACAACACCACCUGUGUCCACAUGAUAGAAGAACAUUUUAACUUCGCCAACUUCAUCUCUACAUCCCUAACAAACAAAACAAUGAUCAUGUUCAUCACCUGUUAUAGUAUAAAAUAAGUUAUAGUUAAAGUGGUAUUUUUGUAUUAUCUAGUUUAAACUAAUGACAAUUUUUAUAUUAAGAAUAGAGUAUACAUUUGAGCAGUUCUUUAGUAGUAAAAAAAGGGUGUACUGUAUAAGUUAUACUUAUAACUAUACUAUAAUUGAAUGUAAUCUUCUAAAGACAUACCCUAUACAACCUUAACGUGAAGGUAUAUGGUGUAUACCUUUCACUACACCCCUGCAUAAUAUGAGUUACCUGCUAUUUAUGUUAAUGCCUGUUCCUCCAAAUGUAUGCCAUUCAGUUGUUCAGAAUCUUCUCGAUAUUAACAUUUGAAUCAUUUUCAUAAGUAAAAAUAUUUAAAUAUUAAUAUUUUUCUUUAACAAUAAAUUGUUUAUAUUACCUGAAAAUACAGUUUUAAUUGACAUUAAAAAC